This 200-nucleotide ribosomal RNA is filed under the name uncultured bacterium. RNAcentral describes it as "partial 16S ribosomal RNA". It matches the Rfam family "Bacterial small subunit ribosomal RNA", at positions 8 to 208 of the family's 1533-position model. The record is from RNAcentral.
AGAGUUUGAUCCUGGCUCAGGACGAACGCUGGCGGCGUGCUUAACACAUGCAAGUCGAGCGGAAAGGCCCCUUCGGGGGUACUCGAGCGGCGAACGGGUGAGUAACACGUGGGCAACCUGCCCUCAGCUCUGGGAUAACUCCGGGAAACCGGGGCUAAUACCGGAUACGACCUCGGGAGACAUCUCCUGAGGUGGAAAGA